GCGAUGCAUUUAGCUAGUUGGUAAGGUAAACGGGCGUUACCAAGGCGAUGAUGCAUAGCCCGAGUUGAGAGACUGAUCGGCCACAUUGGGGACUGAGACACGGGCCCAAACUCCUACGGGAGGCAGCAGUAGGGAAUCUUCCACAAUGGACGAAAGUCUGAUGGAGCAAACGCCGCGUGAGUGAAGAAGGUUUUCGGAUCGUAAAGCUCUGUUGUUGGUGAAGAAGGAUAGAGGUAGUAACUGGCCCUUUAUUUGACGGUAAUCAACCAGAAAGUCACGGGCUAACUACGUGCCAGCAGCCGCGGUAAAU
RNAcentral lists this ribosomal RNA (310 nucleotides) under uncultured Lactobacillus sp. RNAcentral's name for it is "bacterial SSU rRNA". It matches the Rfam family "Bacterial small subunit ribosomal RNA", at positions 233 to 525 of the family's 1533-position model. The record is from RNAcentral. Lineage: Bacteria; Bacillati; Bacillota; Bacilli; Lactobacillales; Lactobacillaceae.